RNAcentral lists this ribosomal RNA (368 nucleotides) under uncultured bacterium. RNAcentral's name for it is "bacterial SSU rRNA". It matches the Rfam family "Bacterial small subunit ribosomal RNA", at positions 28 to 396 of the family's 1533-position model. The record is from RNAcentral.
GACGAACGCUGGCGGCGUGCUUAACACAUGCAAGUCGAGCGGUAAGGCCCUUUCGGGGGUACACGAGCGGCGAACGGGUGAGUAACACGUGGGUGACCUGCCCUCAGCUCUGGGAUAAGCCCGGGAAACUGGGUCUAAUACUGGAUAUGACUCCACGGUGCAUGCCGUGGGGUGGAAAGCCUUGUGCGGCUGAGGAUGGGCCCGCGGCCUAUCAGCUUGUUGGUGGGGUGAUGGCCUACCAAGGCGACGACGGGUAGCCGGCCUGAGAGGGCGACCGGCCACACUGGGACUGAGACACGGCCCAGACUCCUACGGGAGGCAGCAGGUGGGGAAUCUUGCGCAAUGGGCGAAAGCCUGACGCAGCGACG